RNAcentral lists this ribosomal RNA (301 nucleotides) under uncultured bacterium. RNAcentral describes it as "partial 16S ribosomal RNA". It matches the Rfam family "Bacterial small subunit ribosomal RNA", at positions 509 to 807 of the family's 1533-position model. The record is from RNAcentral.
CAGCCGCCACGGGAAUACAGAGGGUGCAAGCGUUAAUCGGAAUUACUGGGCGUAAAGCGCGCGUAGGUGGUUUGUUAAGUUGGAUGUGAAAUCCCCGGGCUCAACCUGGGAACUGCAUCCAAAACUGGCAAGCUAGAGUAUGGUAGAGGGUGGUGGAAUUUCCUGUGUAGCGGUGAAAUGCGUAGAUAUAGGAAGGAACACCAGUGGCGAAGGCGACCACCUGGACUGAUACUGACACUGAGGUGCGAAAGCGUGGGGAGCAAACAGGAUUAGAUACCCGGGUAGUCCCUGUCUCUUAUAC